GAUGAACGCUGGCGGCGUGCUUAACACAUGCAAGUCGAACGAUGAAGCCCAGCUUGCUGGGUGGAUUAGUGGCGAACGGGUGAGUAACACGUGAGUAACCUGCCCUUGACUCUGGGAUAAGCCCGGGAAACUGGAUCUAAUACCGGAUAGGAGCGCCUGUCGCAUGACGGGUGUUGGAAAGAUUUUUCGGUCAUGGAUGGACUCGCGGCCUAUCAGCUUGUUGGUGAGGUAAUGGCUCACCAAGGCGACGACGGGUAGCCGGCCUGAGAGGGUGACCGGCCACACUGGGACUGAGACACGGCCCAGACUCCUACGGGAGGCAGCAGUGGGGAAUAUUGCACAAUGGGCGGAAGCCUGAUGCAGCGACGCCGCGUGAGGGAUGACGGCCUUCGGGUUGUAAACCUCUUUCAGUAGGGAAGAAGCGAAAGUGACGUACCUGCAGAAGAGCA
This 449-nucleotide ribosomal RNA is filed under the name Micrococcus sp. oral taxon F54. RNAcentral's name for it is "bacterial SSU rRNA". It matches the Rfam family "Bacterial small subunit ribosomal RNA", at positions 28 to 492 of the family's 1533-position model. Lineage: Bacteria; Bacillati; Actinomycetota; Actinomycetes; Micrococcales; Micrococcaceae. The record is from RNAcentral.